This is a long non-coding RNA of Danio rerio (zebrafish), 4393 nucleotides long. The record is from Ensembl. Lineage: Eukaryota; Metazoa; Chordata; Actinopteri; Cypriniformes; Danionidae.
AGACCUCUGACAUCAGUGGCCGUCCUGCAACAGGAGGUGUGGUGUGACAACUACACAAACCCUGUGGUGAAGGUAGAAGAGAAGGUGAAGGACAGCGUAGUGAAAGUGUCUCCUCCUCAGACAUUAUCCAUUCAUGGCUCCACCGUCUCCUGGAACUUCAAUUCAACACAACGUUACAUGUUUGAGGUCCAGUACAGAUCUGCAGCUCAGAACUGGAGGGAUGAUGAUAAACAGCAGACAACGGAUACGGAGCUGCAUCUGCCAGAGGAUCAUCUCCAGCUGCAUCAGCAGUACAGCAUCAGGCUGAGGGUGAAGCUGGAGCUGCAGAGAGCCGUGUGGAGCGACUGGAGCCCCGAACACACCUGGACAUCUACUGUGGGGAGGCAGAGACACACAACCCCUGCUGCAGGUGACUGACAGACACACACACACGCACACAAACACAUAUACAGCUACAUAUAACACGCACAGGCACACACACACAUACACACACACACACACACACACACACACACACACACACACACUUACUCUAUUUCCACACUAUUCAGGACAGAAUAGUGACUUUGAGCGAGACGCUAAUGGUCUAAUCCGAUUCAAUGAUCUAUGCUAAGCUAAGCUAACGUGUUCCUGAUCGAGCUGGAGAUCAAUGGACUCAAUAACUGUAAACCGCAGCUGUUUCGCUGUAGGAGAGCUGUAAAUGAGGAUCUGUAUAUUAUCAUGAGUGUUGAUGUCGAUGAGUGACGCUCCGCUCUCCUCUCAGGAUGAAGCACUUCUCCUAUAUUCCUGAUCCAUCCAAGUUCUUCGGAGAUCUGAACUCCAGCCACGGGGGGAAUUUUAAGGCGUGGCUGGGCCCGGUUCUGCUCCGCGAGAGCUUCAUCACUGCAGACUCGGAGCUGGUCAGUCCAGUGGAGGUGUUGAGGCUGCAGGACGCCUGUGACUCUCUCAGCACACACUCACACACACACAGCGGCCCGAUGGACGGGUGGGAUAAAUCCAGCAAAUCCUCCGACUUCUCCAACUCCACAUACUUCCUGUCGCAGAGCUCCAGGGGCCCCGGGCACGCUCUAGAGCCCUGCUCCGCGAACUCCUCAUACGGGCCCGCAGGGGGCAUCAGCGGCCUGGAGACGCAGCGCAGCGCACACGAUGGCGGUGUUCCGGAUCAGCAAACGGAUCUGCUGCAGCUGGAGCGGCUCCGGCAGGACACUCAGAGUCCAGACUCAGGCUUCGCUGGUGGGGCAGAGGACAGCAUGGAGGAGAGCGAGCUGCCCAGUCCUCUGCCCAUCAGUCCUUUGUCCAUAAGUUCUCUGCCCAUCAGUCCUCUGCCCAUCAGCCUGCUGCCACUGAAGCUGCCUGCGCCGCAGCCCAUAAUAAUGCCCCCACUGCUGGGCUUCAGCUGCACCACUGCUCUGCUUCAGCCACUGGAGCUCCUGAACACCUGCGGGCCCGUCCUGCCCUCCAGCGGAGACUACAGACCUGUCAAGAGUUUACAGAACAACCACUGAACAGACUGACCCCAGAUCAGGCGGAAUGAGUGACCACUGAUAGAGAGAGACUGACCUCAGAUCAGCUGGUGUAAGUGACCACCGACUAAUUCACUGGAUGUAACGAUUCACUGAGUCAUUUGAGAAUCGAUUCAAAGAUGUGAUGAUUCAGUUCAGUUCAGCAGGAGAAAUCAACAUGGAAAAACAAACACCACAUAGAAAUCUGAUGCACAAGUUUACAUAUGUGGAUUGCAUACAUAUAAGGAAAUGUAAUAUGUGGAACAUAAACAUUUUAAAAUAUUGCAAAAAUGAAAUGUCCGUUUCCAUAUUAUUUUUCACCCAUUAGAAUUAGAUACAGAUAGAUCAAUAGUGUAGAUAGAAAUAAUAAUAUAAUUACUUUUCUAAUAAUAUAAAUAAUGUAAACAGUUAAUAAUAUGCUGAUUUUUUUAAAAACAUUUUUACGUUAAAAAGGUAAAAAAAAAUCUCAGCUAAGAAAAAGCACAACUAAUAUAUUAGUUUCUUUAAAUUGAAGGUUUUUUAUAUUAUCUGGUAUUUAUUAAUUUAUUUGAUUAGGAAUUUGUUUUAAAAUUUCAAUUAUGCAUGUUAUUCUAUAAAAUACAUGUUUCUUAUUUUACACAUAAAUCUGCAGUAUUUUACAUCAUUUCUUCAUCAAAGGGUCAUUUCUAAAUUCUCUCAACUAAUUAAAACAAUAUGGUGAAAUAAUGUUAUGAUGCAGUGAAUCAUGAGUCGACUGAAUCGUUGCAUCUCUUAUAAACGGUUAUUAAUAAUCGUCACACACUCGUCUGCCUCUAGAACCAUUCAUAAAACAUUUAUUACAAAACUGGACAUUUCAUAACCCCAUCAAACCUGCUGUUCAGAGAUCUCAGUGCUCGCUGAAGGAUGAAGACGCUAUAUUAGUUUGCUUUGUUUUGAAUAUUUGUGUUUCACUGUGUCACUGGUCUUGUGUCACUGGUCUUCCUAAAAAGACAGUCAGACAGUUGCAGCUCAUCCAGAACGCUGCAGCCAGAAUUCUAACCAGAACCAGAAAAUCAGAGCACAUCACACCUGUCCUCAGGUCUCUACACUGGCUGCCAGUUACAUUCAGAAUAGAUUUUAAAGUAUUAUUACUGGUCUAUAAAUCACUAAAUGGCCUAGGACCUCAAUACAUUACAGAUAUGCUCACUGAAUACAAACCUAACAGAUCACUCAGAUCAUUAGGAUCAUAUAAACUAGAAGUUCCAAGAGUUCAGUCAAAGCAGGGUGAAUCUGCCUUCAGCCACUAUGCCCCUCGCUGCUGGAAUCAGCUUCCAGAAAUGAUCAGAUGUGCUGAACAUCAAUAGGCAACAAAUAGGCACAUUCACAUCCAGACUGAACACACAUCUGUUUAGCUGUGCCUUUACUGAAUGAGCACUGUGCUGCGUCCGACAGAUUGCACUAUCAUGUUUUUCUCUUCUUCUUCAUUCUUUUAUAUCACAUUUUACCUGUUUUUAUGUUUUGUUUUUACGAUUAUUUGUUUUUAUUUUUAUUUUACUUGUUUCUUUUAUUCUUGUUUGUGUAAAGCACUUUGAAUUGCCAUUGUGUAUGAAAUGUGCUAUAUAAAUAAACUUGCCUUGCCUUGCNNNNNNNNNNNNNNNNNNNNNNNNNNNNNNNNNNNNNNNNNNNNNNNNNNNNNNNNNNNNNNNNNNNNNNNNNNNNNNNNNNNNNNNNNNNNNNNNNNNNAUAAAUAAACUUGCCUUGCCUUGCCUUUCAUUGCAUGAAAAAGAGCAGCGUGAACAUUCUGCUAAACAUCUCUAAAAGAUAUGAGCUUUGGCAUGUGCUCAGUGUGUGUGAGAGAAACUGAACAUCUGCAGCUGGAACCAGUGGAUCAACAGAGACUGUGCUUGUGAAUUUCACUAAUAUUUCAGCAUGCAUGUCAGAAAGCUAGUGACACCGCCCUCUACUAUAGUACAUGACAGAGUGCACUGUCUAUGAUGUUGAGCAGGAGUGACGCUAAUCAUACAGAAACAGUUUGUUUUCCGCUCAUGAUCUCAUGUAUGUGUUGUUUAUAAUGUACGCUGUUUGCUGCUUUGGGGAAUGUGUGUGUGUGUUUCAGUUUGCUGCUAAUAAAGAUAAUAAUAUGCAUAUUAGUGCUGAGUUCUGUCUGAGUAACACUGCUUACAAAGAGGAUUUAAACACAUUUUUAAACAACAUACUUGUCUCAAUGAAGGGCGAAGGCCUCUUGAUUUUGCUGAUUUGAGCUCAAUAAAAUCUGAUCAUGUCUUGAUGUUGACAGCACAAGCUGUCUUGAUACUUCAGGCUGUUGAUGUUGAUCAUCCACUCUGCAGAUCUCUCGCACGCCCCCAUACUGAAUGAACCCCAAACCAUGCUUUCUACUUCACCAAACUUGACUGAUUUCUGUGAGAAUCUUGGUCCAUGCUGGUUCCAGUAGGUCUUCUGCAGUAUUGGUGAUGAUUGGGAUGCAGAUCAGCAGAUGAUCCAGCAGAGAAAUCCACCUUCUGACACCAAAUGAUCAAUUUAAGACCAGUUAUUAUCUGCUGCUCUUCAACUGGAGGAUCCAGCACAAGACUUCUGUCAGGGAGUGUAUUAAUAACUGAUUCCUUUUAUCUUUGCCAUGAUGACAGUACAUCAUAUGUUACUAGAUAUUCUGCAAGGCGAUCGUACUGCCUCUUAUUUCUGUGUUAGAAAAUAAGCAGCAAUGUUUUAUAUAAAGAAAACUAUAGAAGUGACAUCCUCACAUCAUUAUAGCAUAAUUGUUAUGAUACUGUGCAACAAUAACUCAUAUUUUUACAUCACUGUGAGGGGUAUUUUUAGGGUUGGUAUAGAGGUAGACAUCAAUAAAAUAUAAAAUGAACAUAUGUAAUUAAGUAAAUAUAAACAAUUCUCACUAUAAUUACAGUUUUUAAAUUACU